GAGGACCGAACGAAUAAGCGUUGAAAAGCUUCUCGAUGACUUGAGGGUAGGGGUGAAAGGCUAAUCAAGCUGGGAAAUAGCUCGUACUCCCCGAAAUGCCUUUAGGGGCAGCGUUGUAAUAAAGAGUCUACUGGAGGUAGAGCUACUGAUUGGAUGCGGGGGCUUCACCGCCUACCAAAUCCUGACAAACUCCGAAUGCCAGUAGUAUGAUUUACAGCAGUGAGCGACCGGGUGCUAAUGUCCGGUCACAAAAGAGGAACAACUCAGACCAGCAACUAAGGUCCCCAAGAGUAUACUAAGUUGAUCUAACGAUGUUUUGUUGCAGAGACAGCUAGGAUGUUAGCUUGGAAGCAGCUAUUCAUUCAAAGAGUGCGUAACAGCUCACUAGUCGAGCGACAAAGCGUGGAUAAUAAACGGGCAUCAAGUAUACCACCGAAGUUCUGGGCACGAAAGUGCGGUAGGGGAGCAUUCCAUUCAGCGUCGAAGCCGAAUCGUGAGAUUUGGUGGAGCGUAUGGAAAAGCAAAUGUAGGCAUGAGUAACGAUAAUGCGGGAGAGUAACCCGCACACCGCAAGACCAAGGUUUCCUGAUCAACGCUAAUCGGAUCAGGGUUAGUCGGGUCCUAAGGGUAAGCCGAACGGUGAUCUCGAUGGAUAAUCGGUUAAUAUUCCGAUACUGACAUAUACCUCGAUGGAGAGACGAAGGAACGUAAGUGCCGCCGCCUGACGGAAUAGGUGGUUAAAGGGCGUAGGUAUAGGGACAGAUUAAGAGUUAGUCCUUGCUGAACCCCGACAGUACAGAGAGCCUACGGGCAAUUUGAUAGUGCACCCAAGUCGACUUCCGAGAAAAUCUUCUAAGUUAUAGUAUAUGUCACCCGUACCGUAAACCGACACAGGUGGUCGAGGAGAGUAUCCUAAGGUGCUCGAGUGAAUCACGGUUAAGGAACUAGGCAAAUUAACCCCGUAACUUCGGGAAAAGGGGUCCCACCGCGAGGUGGGCGCAGCGAAGAGGUCCAGGCGACUGUUUAUCAAAAACACAGGGCUCUGCAAAUUCGAAAGAAGACGUAUAGGGCCUGACACCUGCCCGGUGCUGGAAGGUUAAGAGGGGAUGUCAUCGCAAGAGAAGCAUUGAAUCGAAGCCCC
This 1141-nucleotide ribosomal RNA is filed under the name Escherichia coli. Its description in RNAcentral is "partial 23S ribosomal RNA". It matches the Rfam family "Bacterial large subunit ribosomal RNA", at positions 769 to 1921 of the family's 2925-position model. The record is from RNAcentral. Lineage: Bacteria; Pseudomonadati; Pseudomonadota; Gammaproteobacteria; Enterobacterales; Enterobacteriaceae.